RNAcentral lists this long non-coding RNA (1280 nucleotides) under Olea europaea subsp. europaea. Lineage: Eukaryota; Viridiplantae; Streptophyta; Magnoliopsida; Lamiales; Oleaceae. The record is from RNAcentral.
AAAUUUUUUUCACUUGGUAUGAUGAAAAUGUUGAUUUGGGAAUCAAAAUUAUGCCUGACUUGAGGUACUUGGCAAUUACAUAUUUUGACUCAUCAAUAGGAAUGCUCCAAAACCUAGAAUUUCUCCGAAUAAUAAAUAUAUGUCAUCAAGAUAUACCAACGUACCUUCUCAAUAUGCCUAAGUUGAGACAUCUAUGUGUAGGAGACCGAGUUAAAAAGUCAAGAUUCAAUAAGGAUUGUGAUAGCUUCCAAAUAAACAACUUACAAACGCUUUCCUUUAUUUUUUAUUUCAAAUUCAAAAGAUGAAGAAAUCUUGAUAUGUUCACCAAAUCUUCAUAUGCUUAAAUGCAAAUUUUUAGGCAAGCGCUAUCUUGAUCUCAACUUUCUUUCUCAGCUUCGAUCACUCAAAAUGGUUUAUGAAAGUAGAUUCAGGGGUGAUUACAAAGUGUUUAACUUUGCCUAGGAAUAUCAAAAAGCUUACCCUUUCUAAUGUUGGAUUGCCAUGGGAAAAAAUAUCAUUAAUUGGGUUAUUACCUAUAUUGGAGGUUCUAAAGUUAUAAGAUGGAGCCUUUGAAGGAAAAAUCUGGGACACCAAGGAUGACGAGUUCCACAAACUCAAAUUUCUUAAAUUAGUUUCCCUAGAUAUUGAACAGUGGAAUUCCUCAAGCAAUCACUUCCCCGUACUUAAAUGAUUAGUGUUGCAAUUUUGCCAAAAGUUGGAGAUGAUUCCUUUAGAAUUUAACAAUAUUCCAACACUACAAAAGAUUGAGGUACGUUAUUGUUCUGAAAGUGUUGAAAGUUCAGCUUUGGAAAUUUGUGAAGAACAACAGGAUUAUGGUAACGAAGAGUUUGAAGUGAUCAUACAAAGUCUUCGUAUAAAAGAGAGCAUCUACUGCAUUGGUGUAAACGGUGUAAGUCAAACUUCAUCUCAUACUUUUUUUUAUGACGACUUAAAAAUGAUUUUUUACUAUCUAUUUGAUUACUUUUUUAAAUUUGUUGCAGGAGAAUCUUUAAUGUCUUGCACCCACAUGGAGAGAAAAGAUAUAUUUUCAGCUCCAUUUCAAUUGUUAUUUCUUUUUCAUAGUCUUCUCUUUGUAAUGAAUGUGAAGUUACAAUUUCUUAUUCGCAAGCAAAAUCAAAUAAUGGCCCAAUUGAAAAAUGUAUUAUAGUAUGGUUAAUUUGACAAUUGGUUAGUUCUAGAUCUAGGCCUCGUAAACUUUUGCCAUGUAAUUUUCUUUUAUUUAUUUUAUUUUUAUUUAUAUUUCUAAUACUAUUUUUUUC